RNAcentral lists this ribosomal RNA (1243 nucleotides) under Aster yellows phytoplasma. RNAcentral's name for it is "bacterial SSU rRNA". It matches the Rfam family "Bacterial small subunit ribosomal RNA", at positions 156 to 1399 of the family's 1533-position model. Lineage: Bacteria; Bacillati; Mycoplasmatota; Mollicutes; Acholeplasmatales; Acholeplasmataceae. The record is from RNAcentral.
ACGACUGCUAAGACUGGAUAGGAGACAAGAAGGCAUCUUCUUGUUUUUAAAAGACCUAGCAAUAGGUAUGCUUAGGGAGGAGCUUGCGUCACAUUAGUUAGUUGGUGGGGUAAAGGCCUACCAAGACUAUGAUGUGUAGCCGGGCUGAGAGGUUGAACGGCCACAUUGGGACUGAGACACGGCCCAAACUCCUACGGGAGGCAGCAGUAGGGAAUUUUCGGCAAUGGAGGAAACUCUGACCGAGCAACGCCGCGUGAACGAUGAAGUAUUUCGGUACGUAAAGUUCUUUUAUUAGGGAAGAAUAAAUGAUGGAAAAAUCAUUCCGACGGUACCUAAUGAAUAAGCCCCGGCUAACUAUGUGCCAGCAGCCGCGGUAAUACAUAGGGGGCAAGCGUUAUCCGGAAUUAUUGGGCGUAAAGGGUGCGUAGGCGGUUAAAUAAGUUUAUGGUCUAAGUGCAAUGCUCAACAUUGUGAUGCUAUAAAAACUGUUUAGCUAGAGUAAGAUAGAGGCAAGUGGAAUUCCAUGUGUUGUGGUAAAAUGCGUAAAUAUAUGAAGGAACACCAGUAGCGAAGGCGGCUUGCUGGGUCUUUACUGACGCUGAGGCACGAAAGCGUGGGGAGCAAACAGGAUUAGAUACCCUGGUAGUCCACGCCGUAAACGAUGAGUACUAAACGUUGGGUAAAACCAGUGUUGAAGUUAACACAUUAAGUACUCCGCCUGAGUAGUACGUACGCAAGUAUGAAACUUAAAGGAAUUGACGGGACUCCGCACAAGCGGUGGAUCAUGUUGUUUAAUUCGAAGGUACCCGAAAAACCUCACCAGGUCUUGACAUGCUUCUGCAAAGCUGUAGAAACACAGUGGAGGUUAUCAGUUGCACAGGUGGUGCAUGGUUGUCGUCAGCUCGUGUCGUGAGAUGUUGGGUUAAGUCCCGCAACGAGCGCAACCCUUAUUGCUAGUUACCAGCACGUAAUGGUGGGGACUUUAGCAAGACUGCCAGUGAUAAAUUGGAGGAAGGUGGGGACGACGUAAAAUCAUCAUGCCCCUUAUGACCUGGGCUACAAACGUGAUACAAUGGCUGUUACAAAGGGUAGCUGAAGCGCAAGUUUUUGGCGAAUCUCAAAAAAACAGUCUCAGUUCGGAUUGAAGUCUGCAACUCGACUUCAUGAAGUUGGAAUCGCUAGUAAUCGCGAAUCAGCAUGUCGCGGUGAAUACGUUCUCGGGGUUUGUACACACCGCCCGUCA